Molecule: ribosomal RNA, 331 nt
Filed under: uncultured bacterium
Lineage: Bacteria
Description: bacterial SSU rRNA
Rfam family: Bacterial small subunit ribosomal RNA
Source: RNAcentral
AGAGUUUGAUUCUGGCUCAGGACGAACGCUGGCGGCGCGCCUAACACAUGCAAGUCGAACGAGCGAGAGAGAGCUUGCUUUCUCGAGCGAGUGGCGAACGGGUGAGUAACGCGUGAGGAACCUGCCUCAAAGAGGGGGACAACAGUUGGAAACGACUGCUAAUACCGCAUAAGCCCACGACCCGGCAUCGGGUUGAGGGAAAAGGAGCAAUCCGCUUUGAGAUGGCCUCGCGUCCGAUUAGCUAGUUGGUGAGGUAACGGCCCACCAAGGCAACGAUCGGUAGCCGGACUGAGAGGUUGAACGGCCACAUUGGGACUGAGACACGGCCCAG